RNAcentral lists this small nuclear RNA (107 nucleotides) under Phascolarctos cinereus (koala). Lineage: Eukaryota; Metazoa; Chordata; Mammalia; Diprotodontia; Phascolarctidae. The record is from RNAcentral.
GUGCUAGCUUGGGCAGUAUAUAUACUAAUAUUGCAAUGAUACAGAGAAGAUUAGCAUGGCUCCUGCACAAGGAUGACAUGCAAAUUCAUGAAGUGUUCCAUAUUUUU